This 547-nucleotide ribosomal RNA is filed under the name uncultured Actinomycetes bacterium. Its description in RNAcentral is "bacterial SSU rRNA". It matches the Rfam family "Bacterial small subunit ribosomal RNA", at positions 8 to 569 of the family's 1533-position model. The record is from RNAcentral. Lineage: Bacteria; Bacillati; Actinomycetota; Actinomycetes.
AGAGUUUGAUCCUGGCUCAGGAUGAACGCUGGCGGCGUGCUUAACACAUGCAAGUCGAACGAGGUCCAUGGAGCUUGCUCCGGACGACCUAGUGGCGAACGGGUGCGUAACACGUGAGGAACCUGCCCCGAUCUCUGGAAUAACAGUUGGAAACGACUGCUAAUACCGGAUGCCGUCCCACCGUCUCAUGGCGGAGCGACGAAAGAUUCAUCGGAUCGGGAGGGCCUCGCGGCCUAUCAGCUAGUUGGAGAGGUAACGGCUCACCAAGGCAUCGACGGGUAGCUGGUCUGAGAGGAUGAUCAGCCACACUGGGACUGAGACACGGCCCAGACUCCUACGGGAGGCAGCAGUGGGGAAUCUUGCACAAUGGGCGAAAGCCUGAUGCAGCAACGCCGCGUGCGGGAAGAAGGCCCUAGGGUUGUAAACCGCUUUCAGUAGGGAAGAAAAUGACGGUACCUACAGAAGAAGGUGCGGCCAACUACGUGCCAGCAGCCGCGGUGACACGUAGGCACCAAGCGUUAUCCGGAUUUAUUGGGCGUAAAGAGCU